RNAcentral lists this non-coding RNA (28 nucleotides) under Bombyx mori (domestic silkworm). Lineage: Eukaryota; Metazoa; Arthropoda; Insecta; Lepidoptera; Bombycidae. The record is from RNAcentral.
UGAAUCUAAAGAAGACCUCCCUCUGUCC